RNAcentral lists this ribosomal RNA (433 nucleotides) under uncultured bacterium. RNAcentral describes it as "partial 16S ribosomal RNA". It matches the Rfam family "Bacterial small subunit ribosomal RNA", at positions 29 to 507 of the family's 1533-position model. The record is from RNAcentral.
AACGAACGCUGGCGGCAUGCCUAACACAUGCAAGUCGAACGAGACCUUCGGGUCUAGUGGCGCACGGGUGCGUAACGCGUGGGAACCUGCCCUUAGGUUCGGACUAACUCCCCGACAGGGGUGCUAAUACCGGAUAAUGUCUUCGGACCAAAGAUUUAUCGCCUUUGGAUGGGCCCGCGUUGGAUUAGCUAGUUGGUAGGGUAAAAGCCUACCAAGGCGACGAUCCAUAGCUGGUCUGAGAGGAUGAUCAGCCACACUGGGACUGAGACACGGCCCAGACUCCUACGGGAGGCAGCAGUGGGGAAUAGUGGACAAUGGGCGAAAGCCUGAUCCAGCAAUGCCGCGUGAGUGAUGAAGGCCUUAGGGUUGUAAAGCUCUUUUACCCGGGAUGAUAAUGACAGUACCGGGAGAAUAAGCUCCGGCUAACUCCGUG